RNAcentral lists this ribosomal RNA (389 nucleotides) under uncultured bacterium. Its description in RNAcentral is "bacterial SSU rRNA". It matches the Rfam family "Bacterial small subunit ribosomal RNA", at positions 28 to 418 of the family's 1533-position model. The record is from RNAcentral.
GACGAACGCUGGCGGCGUGCUUAACACAUGCAAGUCGAGCGGUAAGGCCCUUUCGGGGGUACACGAGCGGCGAACGGGUGAGUAACACGUGGGUGACCUGCCCUCAGCUCUGGGAUAAGCCUGGGAAACUGGGUCUAAUACCGGAUAUGACUUCACAUCGCAUGGUGUGUUGUGGAAAGUUUUUUCGGCUGGGGAUGGGCCCGGCGGCCUAUCAGCUUGUUGGUGGGGUGAUGGCCUACCAAGGCGACGACGGGUAGCCGGCCUGAGAGGGCGACCGGCCACACUGGGACUGAGACACGGCCCAGACUCCUACGGGAGGGCAGCAGUGGGGAAUAUUGCGCAAUGGGCGGAAGCCUGACGCAGCGACGCCGCGUGGGGAUGACGGCCUC